CAGACAUAUGCAGAGGCUUGCCAUACAAAUCUCCUAGGUGCCUCUUAGUCCAGUCAAGGUGACCAGAGAGAUGACCUAUCGCACAGAGCUAGCAUGUGUCAGAAUCCUGAGGUGUUGAGGCAUCUGCUUUGUUGUAAGAAGCCAUGUGAUAGGAUGGUGAACCAUGGGCAGGUAAUCACAGAGGGGAGGGAGGAGUGGUUGGUCAGUGAAGACCACAUUAGAGUCUUUAUUUUGUAAAACCUUCGCCUUCAUAUGAAAGGAGGCUGGGGGGGGGACACAAAGUCUCUCUUUAUGUAAUUAUUAAUUGUAUGUAAUUAUUAGUCCAUAUUAUGUCAUUUCAGUGGGGUUGCUCUGACUGUGGGGUCAACUGAAGACAACAAGAAUGGCAGGAAAACAUGGCUUAAGGAUGGAUGUUUCCAGGUAACAGAGAAGAGGAUGAGAGCUGGGGCCAGGGACUAAGCUUUGGAGGGAAGGAUCUAACAGGCACCUCGACCUUCACAAGGGACUGGAUGGUAAAGCUGGGUAAGCAGGUUUAGGCUCCUUUUACAGUAGUAGUCCUGUACAUGGUUAAAUAAGAAGCCUUUAAUCACCUUUCUUCCCAUGAACAUUUGUUUCCUAGUCCGCAAAGGCUCCAUCCUGUCCACGAGGAAGGAGCAUUCUGGCUACUGUGGUAGUUUUUCAGGAUGAAUGGCUUAGAGUUUGGAACUGUCCUCCUGUGAGGCAGACAGCAGGCCUGGCUUUGAGGCUCAUUCUCCUGAGGACAGACGUGACUCAUCAUUCAGGAUGUUGUGUCAUCCUUAAAUGAACAUGGAAUUUGUGGCCAGAUCGUCUUCCCCUGUGGACACGUGUGACAAUUAGGGAAAGAGCAGAGAGGUGGUAGAGUGGAGGACCAAGCAUGUCCAGUGGGAGCCUGGUGACAGAAGUUGUCAGCUACAAGUCAAAGAAAGGCAUCUUGAGAACUCGUGACCGUGUCUGCGUCCUAAGGCUGUGGAAACCUGAGCUGGGAGACACAAUGCUGUGUCUGAGGAUGGAAAGGAGCACUCGAGGACAAUGGACAGCGGAUGUAUCAAGGGAAGCUGAAAAUCUCCUAGUUUCAGAACCUGUACAAACAUGGCCAUGGACCGUGUUUGUACAGGAGCCACUGUGCCUGGACAAUUGUAGCUACUGUCUCACCAUCAAAAAAAGCUUCUCUUUGCAGCAAAUGGAGACCAUCACAGAAAAUCACAAUUGAGUACAGUGCAGAGGAGAACCCAGACCCAAAGGAUACACCUAUAUCAAAGAUGCUGCAUCAGUGACUCAGGGAACGUCUUAGGAGAUGGGGUGGAGAGUGUAAGAGCCGGACUGCCAGGCUGUCUGCUGUGAGUCAGUCUCUCCUAGACUGUGACAAUGGCAGUACCAGUGGAUAUGUUAACAUGGACGGGGGAAUCUUCAUGGUCUCAUCUUUACACAAAGAACUACAGGCAAGGAAUAACUGCUGGGAGUAUAACUAGCCUUUCCAAGGAAUAAACCUCUUCAUUGGUUGUUGUGAUGGUUUGAA
RNAcentral lists this long non-coding RNA (1537 nucleotides) under Mus spicilegus (steppe mouse). Its description in RNAcentral is "lncRNA (ENSMSIG00000005832.1)". Lineage: Eukaryota; Metazoa; Chordata; Mammalia; Rodentia; Muridae. The record is from RNAcentral.